AUUGAACGCUGGCGGCAGGCCUAACACAUGCAAGUCGAGCGGAUGAAGGGAGCUUGCUCCUGGAUUCACCGGCGGACGGGUAAGUCAUGCCUAGGAAUCUGCCUGGUAGUGGGGGAUAACGUCAGGAAACGGGCGCUAAUACCGAAUACGACCCGCGGGAGAAAGUGGGGGAGCUUCGGUCUUCAGGCUAUCAGGUGAGCCUAGGCCGGAUGAGCUAGUGGGUGGGGUAAAGGCCUACCAGGGCGACCAUCCGUAACUGGUCUGAGAGGGUGAUCAGUCACACUAGAGCGGAGACACGGUCCCGGCGCCUACGGGAGGCAGCAGUCGGGAAUAGUGGACAAUGGGCGAAAGCCUUAUCCAGCCAUGCCGCGUGUGUUGAGGAGGUCUUCGGAUUGUAAAGCACUUUAAGUUGGGGGGAAGGGCAGUAAGUCAAUACCUUGCUGUUUUGACGUUACCAACAGAAUAAGCACCGGCUAACUUCGUG
RNAcentral lists this ribosomal RNA (484 nucleotides) under uncultured bacterium. RNAcentral describes it as "partial 16S ribosomal RNA". It matches the Rfam family "Bacterial small subunit ribosomal RNA", at positions 30 to 507 of the family's 1533-position model. The record is from RNAcentral.